UUAAUAAUAUUCUUAUAUAAAAUAUAAUUAUUUUUAUAUUUGGUCCUUUCGUACUAAAAUAUAACAAUUUUUUAAAGAUAGAAACCAACCUGGCUUACACCGGUUUGAACUCAGAUCAUGUAAGAAUUUAAAAGUCGAACAGACUUAAAAUUUGAACAGCUACACCCAAAAUUAUAUCUUAAUCCAACAUCGAGGUCGCAAUCUUUUUUAUCGAUAUGAACUCUCCAAAAAAAUUACGCUGUUAUCCCUAAAGUAACUUAAAUUUUUAAUCACUACAAAUGGAUCAAUUAUUCAUAAAUUAAUGGUUUUUUAAAUUAAAAGUUUAUUAAAUUUUAAUAUCACCCCAAUAAAAUAUUUUAAUUUAUUAUAAUAAAAAUAAUCUUUAUAACUAAAAUAAACAAAAUAUAAAGAUUUAUAGGGUCUUCUCGUCUUUUAAACUUAUUUUAGCUUUUUGACUAAAAAAUAAAAUUCUAUAAAAAAUUUAAAUGAAAC
This 492-nucleotide ribosomal RNA is filed under the name Drosophila setosifrons. RNAcentral's name for it is "partial 16S ribosomal RNA". The record is from RNAcentral. Lineage: Eukaryota; Metazoa; Arthropoda; Insecta; Diptera; Drosophilidae.